This 406-nucleotide ribosomal RNA is filed under the name uncultured bacterium. RNAcentral's name for it is "partial 16S ribosomal RNA". It matches the Rfam family "Bacterial small subunit ribosomal RNA", at positions 30 to 526 of the family's 1533-position model. The record is from RNAcentral.
AUUGAACGCUGGCGGCAGGCCUAACACAUGCAAGUCGAGCGAGCGGCGGACGGGGGAGUAAUGUCUGGGAAACUGCCUGAUGGAGGGGGAUAACUACUGGAAACGGUAGGUAAUACCGCACACCAUCAGAUGUGCCCAGAUGGGAUUAGCUAGUCGGUGGGGUAACGUCUCACCUAGGCGACGAUCCCUAGCUGGUCUGCGAGGUUGACCAGCCACACUGUGACUGAGACACGGUCCAGACUCCUACGGGAGGCAGCAGUGGGGAAUAUUGCACAAUGGACGCAAGCCUGAUGCAGCCAUGCCGCGUGUAUGAAGAAGGCCUUCGGGUUGUAAAGUACUUUCAGCGGGGAGGCGUUACCCGCAGAAGAAGCACCGGCUAACUCCGUGCCAGCAGCCGCGGUAAUUC